RNAcentral lists this ribosomal RNA (233 nucleotides) under uncultured Lactobacillus sp. RNAcentral's name for it is "partial 16S ribosomal RNA". It matches the Rfam family "Bacterial small subunit ribosomal RNA", at positions 130 to 355 of the family's 1533-position model. Lineage: Bacteria; Bacillati; Bacillota; Bacilli; Lactobacillales; Lactobacillaceae. The record is from RNAcentral.
CCAAGAGAUCGGGAUAACACCUGGAAACAGAUGCUAAUACCGGAUAACAACAGAUGAUGCCUAUCAACUGUUUAAAAGAUGGUUCUGCUAUCACUCUUGGAUGGACCUGCGGUGCAUUAGCUAGUUGGUAGGGUAACGGCCUACCAAGGCGAUGAUGCAUAGCCGAGUUGAGAGACUGAUCGGCCACAUUGGGACUGAGACACGGCCCAAACUCCUACGGGAGGCAGCAGUAC